CAUGGCCUUAUUGAUAAUAAUUUAAGGUCUGAUCUGCUCAAUGAAUUUUAAAUAGCCGCAGUAUUUUGACUGUGCGAAGGUAGCAUAAUAAUUAGUUUCUUAAUUAGGGACUGGAAUGAAUGAUUGGACAAGAAAAUUACUGUCUCUUUUUUAGGUGUUGAAUUUUAUUUUUAAGUGAAAAAGCUUAAAUGUUUGUAAAAGACGAGAAGACCCUAUAGAGUUUAACAUUUUAUUUUAAUUUGUUAUUAGUAUAAUUUUUUAAAAUAUUAUUGUUUGGUUGGGGUGACUGAAAGAUACAAUUAAUUCUUUUAGAUUUUAAUUAAAAAUUUUUAAAUUUUUAAUCUAUAAUUUGUAAAAUUAAAAUAAAUUACCUUAGGGAUAACAGCGUAAUUUUUCUUUAAAGUUCUUAUUGUAAGGAAAGUUUGCGACCUCGAUGUUGGAUUAAAAUAAAUUUUUGGUGCAAUAACUGAAAAAUUAGGUCUGUUCGACCUUUAAAAUUUUACAUGAUCUGAGUUUAGACCGGUGUGAACCAGGUUGGAUUCUAUCUUUAUAUUUAUUUUUAUAUUUUAGUACGAAAGGACCAAAUAUAAGUUAAAUUAAUUGU
This 604-nucleotide ribosomal RNA is filed under the name Cautires sp. UPOL AJ0036. RNAcentral describes it as "partial 16S ribosomal RNA". It matches the Rfam family "Bacterial large subunit ribosomal RNA", at positions 1816 to 2715 of the family's 2925-position model. Lineage: Eukaryota; Metazoa; Arthropoda; Insecta; Coleoptera; Lycidae. The record is from RNAcentral.